Molecule: ribosomal RNA, 253 nt
Filed under: uncultured bacterium
Lineage: Bacteria
Description: partial 16S ribosomal RNA
Rfam family: Bacterial small subunit ribosomal RNA
Source: RNAcentral
UACGGAGGGUGCAAGCGUUAUCCGGAUUCACUGGGUUUAAAGGGUUCGUAGGCGGUGUGGCAAGUCGGGAGUGAAAUCUCUGGGCUCAACUCAGGGGCUGCUUCCGAAACUGCCGUGCUAGAGUGUGGGAGAGGCGCGUGGAAUUGCAGGUGUAGCGGUGAAAUGCGUAGAUAUCUGCAGGAACACCGGUGGCGAAGGCGGGACUCUGGGCCGAUACUGACGCUGAGGAGCGAAAGCGUGGGGAGCAAACAGG